AAAAAAAAAAAAUGUUCACUUAGUGCAGGGGUCGGGAACCUAUGGCUCGCGAGCUACAUGUGGCUCUUUUGGGAACUGCAUCUGGCUCUCGGACAAACCUGCCAUUUGUUUACUCAAUAAGUCAUGAAUAAUUGUGGUACUGUAUUAAAUUAAAAAUGGACCUACUGUAAUCAAAAUGUUAAAAUAGUGUUCGAAAUAUAAUAUAUGUUCACAUAGUUUAAUCCAUCCCAUGUCUGUUCUUUACUGCUGAAGUUCACGGUUACGUCGAUGUACUGUACAGAUAUGAAAAACUUGUUUUUUUUAUUGGACAAUGCAGUGCCGAGAUAACAUUCCAUCCGCUGAUGCUUUACUUAAAAAUUCAGCUAGCUAACGGUUGUAUCCAAAACAAAGAAAAUGGCGAAGAGAAAAAAAGAUGAACGAGAACACUUUAAUUGUUAUUGUUGAUGUGUGCGCUUGCUGUAGGCUAGAUAAGGAAAAUGUCAUAAAGGAAACGUCAGUGACCACAGCUUGCGAGCGCGAACACAAGCGGGCUGAAAUGGGAAAGUUUCCAUCCGAAGACUGAUUCUGAAAACGCGAAAUGAACUGCCUGUUAUAUAUCGCACACUGCAACGACUUAGUAUUGCUGUGUUAACCCUGUUCAUUUCCACUUGCAUAUGAGAAAUCUUUCUCACACAUGAAAAAUAUAAAGACAAACCUGAGCUCACGUUUAAGGGCAAUUCCGCGCAAAACUGUCACAUCCAUAACGCCAACACAAUG
This is a long non-coding RNA of Alosa sapidissima (American shad), 756 nucleotides long. RefSeq lists it as uncharacterized. The transcript is spliced from 4 exons. Lineage: Eukaryota; Metazoa; Chordata; Actinopteri; Clupeiformes; Clupeidae. The record is from RefSeq and is a predicted model, not a curated record.